UGAGGAAUCAGCAUCGGCUAACUCCGUGCCAGCAGCCGCGGUAAUACGGAGGAUGCAAGCGUUAUCCGGGAAUUAUUGGGCGUAAAGCGUCCGCAGGUGGCUUACCAAGUCUGCUGUCAAAGCGCAGGGCUUAACUCUGUAAGGGCAGUGGAAACUGGUAGGCUAGAGUGCGACAGGGGUAGAGGGAAUUCCCAGUGUAGCGGUGAAAUGCGUAGAUAUUGGGAAGAACACCAGUGGCGAAGGCGCUCUACUGGGUCGCAACUGGCACUCAUGGACGAAAGCUAGGGGAGCGAAAGGGAUUAGAUACCCCUGUAGUCCUAGCUGUAAACGAUGGACACUAGGCGUUGGACGUAUCGACCCGUUCAGUGCCGUAGCUAACGCGUUAAGUGUCCCGCCUGGGGAGUACGCACGCAAGUGUGAAACUCAAAGGAAUUGACGGGGGCCCGCACAAGCGGUGGAGUAUGUGGUUUAAUUCGAUGCAACGCGAAGAACCUUACCAGGGCUUGACAUCCCGCGAAUCCUCUGGAGACGGAGGAGUGCCUUCGGGAGCGCGGAGACAGGUGGUGCAUGGCUGUCGUCAGCUCGUGUCGUGAGAUGUUGGGUUAAGUCCCGCAACGAGCGCAACCCUCGUUUUUAGUUGCCAUCAUUAAGUUGGGCACUCUAGAGAGACUGCCGGUGACAAACCGGAGGAAGGUGGGGAUGACGUCAAGUCAUCAUGCCCCUUACGUCCUGGGCUACACACGUACUACAAUGCUUCGGACAAAGGGUUGCCAACCAGCAAUGGUGCGCUAAUCCCAUAAACCGAGGCUCAGUUCAGAUUGCAGGCUGCAACUCGCCUGCAUGAAGGAGGAAUCGCUAGUAAUCGCAGGUCAGCAUACUGCGGUGAAUACGUUCCCGGGCCUUGUACACACCGCCCGUCACACCAUGGGAGUUGGCCACGCCCGAAGUCGUUACUCUAACCGU
RNAcentral lists this ribosomal RNA (963 nucleotides) under uncultured cyanobacterium. RNAcentral describes it as "bacterial SSU rRNA". It matches the Rfam family "Bacterial small subunit ribosomal RNA", at positions 480 to 1442 of the family's 1533-position model. The record is from RNAcentral. Lineage: Bacteria; Bacillati; Cyanobacteriota.